GAUGAAGAACGCAGCGAAAUGCGAUAAGUAAUGUGAAUUGCAGAAUUCAGUGAAUCAUCGAAUCUUUGAACGCACAUUGCGCCCCUUGGUAUUCCGAGGGGCAUGCCUGUUCGAGCGUCAUAUUAACCACUCCCGCUUGCGGGGUCUUGGGCUUCGCCUCCGGGCGGGCCUUAAAAUCAGUGGCGGUGCCGUCGGGCUCUACGCGUAGUAAAUUUUCUCGCGAUAGGGUCCCGGUGGAUGCUUGCCAACAACCCCCAACUUCUUAAGGUUGACCUCGGAUCAGGUAGGGAUACCCGCUGAACUUAAGCAUAUCAAUAAGCGGAGA
This 325-nucleotide unclassified non-coding RNA is filed under the name soil metagenome. RNAcentral describes it as "partial contains 5.8S ribosomal RNA, internal transcribed spacer 2, and large subunit ribosomal RNA". The stretch from base 1 to 120 matches the Rfam family "5.8S ribosomal RNA", at positions 35 to 154 of the family's 154-position model. The record is from RNAcentral.